CAAUUGGGGGAAAAAAAUCGCAGAAGCGGAAGUGAAACAGAAGCAUUCCGCGGGUGGAUUUGGAAGAAGCAGCACAACCGCUGAUAAAGACAUGCUUAAAAUAUGCUUGGAUGGCUUUAUGCUGAAAAAUCAACGAUUAUGAUUGAUAUACGCUUCGCUCUCCGCCUGAAAUUGACCACUUUCCGUGGAAAGGGGCAUUGUUCUCCUUAAUCCACACCUUGAUGAAACAUGGAAAACCUGUACUUGGCUUGGCUUAAUGGACAAUACCAAAUACUUCGCCCCCUCCCACAACAACAGACCCAAAUUGCCGAUAACGUGGCGAAUCCUGGAGUGAAACCACAACAGAGAGCCAUUUCUUGUCAGGGUGGCCCAUCUAACAGGCAGACUGACGUUUCUUAUCAGACAGCUGGCGAACCGGGACCUUAUGUCAAUCUGCAGAACCCUUGUCUGAAUGUGCAAGGAGGACAUCCUUUCCAUGGAAGCAGAUAUCAAAAUGCUACUAAUCAUUCAUUAGCUCAGCAUGGAUCUGGCUUUAGGUUAAACACGCCCCCUCUUACAACGGCUGCCCCACUUCAAGUCAGACAGGGUGUUUCAAAGACCGGAAAAGAAUCCUCCACUGCAAGUAACACGCACAUUGCUUCAGUCAACAAAACUCAAUAUGGACCACUCUCUCCUUCUGCCAACCAACAAUAUUUAGUUUCCUCCAAUCCCAACACAUUUGUUCUCAAGCCCCAAUCUACUGGACAGAGUUUGCAGGGUUACAUUUUGAUUCAACCGACAAUGCAUAUUCCCUCCACUGUUUUGGUUAGUAGUCAAACAAACAUCCCCAAAGCAGCAGAGUCUAGGCGUGAUGUAAUUGGGACAACUAUGCAAGGAACCACUAAUCAACAAACUACAACACAAUCAAGAAAUCAGCUGGUUACCACACACUCAACAACGCAUCUACUGAAUUUAAAUCCACUGUUGUCAGAUUUGCUACUGGCCCCGGGAUCAGUGAGCAAGAGUUCCCAGUCAUUACCAACAAAUAAAGUAAAUGACAACUCCAUUUCUACGAGAGUCAUCGCUGUGGUGCAACCAUUGUCUCCACAAUGCGAUAUAAUUACACCUGCAAGUAAAAAUCCCUCACCACACAACUUGAAUUUACCCAUUGUGGACGCCCAGAACAAGACUACCAAAGAGGACUGUCGGAAUCCCCCUGAAAGUGAAACUCAGCCACAGUCCAACAAAUGUCUGAGGAUGCAUGCAUCAGCUAUCAGACAUGCAGAUGACACUCCAAGUCAAGUUCUGAGAUUGCAUCCGUUAGCUACCAAACUUGCAGAUGACAUGCUAAGGAAAGACCAUUGUCUUGGAUCAUGUGCUUCAAAACUGGCGACCCUUGAAACUCCAGCAAAGGAAAGGGGGACUAAUGACCAUGAUAAGAUGCCACCCGAUGCAAAGGCUAGUAUCCUUGAACUUUCCUCUUUCCCAACAACUACGUGGACGUUGAAAGAUUUAGUGUUGAUGGGUAAAAGAUUGGCGAUGCAAGGUGCACCUGCAAAUGACAAUUUACCCAAACAACUAUUAGACAUGUUUUGGGGUGGGAGUUGUGACAAUUUGGCAUGUUCUCUUAAGACAAAAUAUUGGUCUGCCUUGAUUCGUCAUGUUUAUUUAUUUUGUGCCAACUCUGUGAAAGAAGACACUGUUGUGCUGUCACAGGUAUGCCCGUCAUUUGCUGAUCAACUCAAAAACUUUCAUGUCCUGAAAGAUGGUGAGGUUUACACAGAGCUGCCCUACACAUCGUCAUGGUUGAAUACAAAUGAACAGCUGGAUGAUAUUGACAAAGAAUUUGGCCCCAAUAUUUACAGAUACGUGCCUCACAACCAGCCAGAUCCCGUUAAAAAAGUCGCCAGCGUUUCAUCACAAGAUGUUAGCAAGGUUCCCAGAUCUGUCCCUGAAAGAGACGACCAAGAUUGUAAUGAGCUACUUGUCAACCUUUCACCACAAAAUGUUGCAGAGAUUCCCAGAUCUGACCCUGAUACGGGAGGCAAAGAUUGUAAUGACCCACUUGCCAACAUUUCACCACAAAAUGUUGCAGAGGUUCCCAGAUCUGACCCUGAUACGGGAGGCAAAGAUUGUAUUGACCCACUCGCCAACAUUACACCACAAAAUGUUGCAGAGAUUCCCAGAUCUGACCCUGAUACGGGAGGCAAAGAUUGUAUUGACCCACUCGCCAACAUUACACCACAAAAUGUUGCAGAGAUUCCCAGAUCUGACCCUGAAACAGGAGGCAAAGUUUGUAACGACCCUCUCUAUUCAUUUAAAAUCCAAGUUUUGUCACCAGAAAAAGCGAAAGCCAUCUUUGAGCUUGGCCGUGUUGUGAUGUCACCAAGUAUUGGUCAACCAAAGGAAGUCUUAAAUACUUCUGGUGGUGUGGAAGAUGAGCCACUUCCAGAAGUAUACGUUACAAGCGGAUCAAAACUAAAAAAUCCCCUGAAUCGUUUUUGCUGCAUAGCAAAGUGGAAAGAAAUUAUUUUGGGUUCCAAAACAUCUUCGGAUGAUAAGUGCCAUUGCAAAGAAGGUUUUACGAAGACGCGAGAACAAAUGAACUGUCCACAGUUUACAAUAGAACCUGAUCGCCAAUCUCACUCACUGGAAGGAGACAUGGAAUCUAAAAGUAAGGGGAGAAUGUCCAGCAGCCUUCCGACAAUAAGUUGGCUUAAAAUAUGCAAUGAAAUCAGUGAGACCUUUGAAUUAAACGACGAUCAAGAAACAAAUGACCUCCAUGGUCAACAGCCAAAAGGAAGCCAGGCAAAAAUGACAAGGGAAAACAAAGACGAUGUCGCCAAUUGUGAUAUUCCUACCAACCAUAUUGCUGACAAUGAAGAGGAUUUGAACAAAGCUCAGCUGAAACCUGCAGAAGGUUGCCUGUCAACUGACGGCCACAUCAGGGAUGACAAUUCUUGGACCGAAAAUCACAUGGACACGAAUAUGUCAGCCAAGAAUGAACAGGUUGAACAAGCUUCAACGGCAUCUUCACUUGGGACAAUGUCACCUUUGGAAACGGAACAACUGAUACAAUGCAGUCCAAAGUCCGGAAAUCUGAUCGAUUUCAGUAAAUCAGGAACACAUGGAACUGAUGAAAGGAAACGGAAGAGACUUGCCAAUCCUAACAGUAUUUUUCCGCACCUGAAGAAGUUGAUGAAGAAAAACCUGGAUUCACAUGAAGUUGAUGUUUCAAAAAAUAAGGCAGUUGUUGGUUCUGAUGGUAAACCUUUAGCGUCAGACAAUUCAACUGUCAAAUUGAUGCUGUUUGGCUCUUUACCACACCAACAGCAUGCUUUAAUUAAUCACGGAAAUGAGACGACAAAACCACCAAAGGUAGUUUUUGCGAGGGUUGACGCCAAGAAAAAAAUCGGUAGAGGUGAACCAAAAUCAUUUUGUUCAGCCACAAAAGGGACUCUAUCUCAAACUAAAAUAACAUUCGGAACCAACAUGAAACUAAUUGCGGGCAAAGGAGAGAAGUUACGUUCGACAAAUGACACGGAUAUUGUCGGCCGACAAAGUCGGUCUGUUAAACGUGACAAAAGAAGUAAUGAAAGUGGACCCCAAGAAGAUUUGCCCAUCCAGGACAACAGCUUGAAUUUCAGCGUUUUGCCCACCACCUUCUGCUUUGAAGAUGAAUCAACAGGUCGGGAAAAAAACACAGAGCAUCGUUCAGGUAAAUCAAUGGAUUUAAUCUGUGUGAAAUCUGAACUUGUUUGAUUGAACACAAGCGCAUACACUAGAGGGCUGUUCACACGGCACACAUUUGCUCCGGCGCUGCACCGAUGUAUUUUGUUGCGAUAUAUUACGCACCGCAGCAAAUUGUGCGGAGCGUUCACACGUACAAAGCCGCUGAGCAUGAUAACACUGACACAGCGUCGGUGCAGCCCCACUUGCGUUCACACGACAGAUUCUGCAGCGGAGCAAAACGACAGAAAACAAAUGAGCUGUCGUGUUGGUUCUUUUUAAAACGUACUGUAUAUACACAACUCAAGCGACUACUGGACCGGCACGUCCUUCUCCUUCUCGGUCUCCGUGCCUUCUGCUCGAGAGUGACCGCCCACGAAAACGUAAAUCAACGAUGACUUCAAUGACACUCGGAAAACCAAACACUAAUGCUCCAAACAGAAAAUCAAGAGAGGAAAUCACAAAAUAAAUUAUAUGGGGGGCGGGGGGUUGUGAACACAAAACAAAGAAACAAACUACACAAACAACUCUGAGACAGUCCAGUCUCCUACAAAAGGAAAGAUGUUACCAGCCAAGUCUUGUGUCGUUAUUAAACAAACACAUGACGGAGGUCCGACAGAGCACGAAAGCAACGCAUUCUCGCCAUACGUACUCUUCACAGGCAUUUGCUCUGGAGCAAAUUUGACUCAGUUGCGUUCACACGUGCAAAUUUACAUCGGUGCUGCUUCGCAAACGAGCAUUGGUUCCGGAGCAAAUUUUUAAACCACCUCCCUGAGGUGGAUCAAAUUUGGUCCGGUGUAAGCCUUUUUCCGGGGCUACGCCGGAGCUAAUUUGCACGUGUGAACGCUCUACUGGGGCAGCCCCGGCGUAGCACCGGACCAAAUCUUGCCGUGUGAACAGCCCUUGGCAGAAAUGACUUCUGAUGUCUGAAUGGCAACCGGUGGAUAUGCAGGUUCAUUGUACCCUUCCGCCAUGUAAUAGAGGAGCAUUUCAUUGUUCACUAUUCCUCACUGGGCUAGAUGAACAGAGAUGUAUAACAUUUUCUCGUGGUGACACCCUUGAUCUUUCACACUUGCAUUUCCACAUGACAAGUGGAGCGGAGACAUGACGCAAGAGGAAAGAAGUAUGGGGCGGAAAUGAACACUUAUGAUGUAAAAUGUGCGCCAUGUCGAAUGAAGUAAUUAAAGAUGUAAGGUUGAAUGAAUUCCAUGACGGUUGGCUUGAUAAGUGGCAUGAAUAUUUGCAAUUCUAAAUAUUCAAAUGCCAGAGUUCACCAUCCUUGACUUAGUCCCUUUUAGAUUAGGUUUAAUCACCCGGGGAGCCCUUCUUGGUUUAGACCUUUUCAAAAUGAGUAAUAUCAAUUUAACCUCUUGAGGGACUCAGUGUAUUAGAAUAGUAAUUUUAGGUUUAACCACAAGAGGCUACUAAGUGCUGUCAGGGCGGGCUUAGACAUUCAAAUUAGAAUGAUAAUUUCAGAAUAAAAUGCUAUUAUGUGCCAUAUUGAAGUGAAGCAGCUGUAUUAAAUAAAUGUUACACACAAAUUAAAACACAAACUAAGAUAUGAGCUGGCUUGCUUGCUGACAACUACUUUUUUAAGGAUGAUUGAUCAUCAUUUUGCCAACACAUGAAUCCAGAAACUGCUUUUCUUGUUCUGGUUUAACCUCAAUUGAUUUGUUACACGUUAAUGACGUGACGUCAUGUUGAGAGCAGUCUCCAUAAACUUUGAUUUUGUAAUCAUCUCAUUUCUACCAACCUAAUUUCUUUAAAAGCUAUGUGGUUGUGUUGGGGGGGGGGGGGGGGGUAAUCAUCAUCCUCAAAACUGAACAAUUUUCAUUUCUUACAGAUUAACCUUUUUUCCGAAUCAGAAAGGAAAAGGCCCAGUAAGAAGAACAGAGUGGAUGCUUGGAUUCCUUUUCCCGCAAAGAAGUCCCCUGAACACCAUGGUCCAGAGUCCAAGAGGUCCGGUGCCUUUGCAGAGUAUCAGAAGAAAUACAUGGAGAAGUCACACCCACCCAUCAUUCAGCAGCAGUUGAAAACACAUUAAAAUGAUUGUGAACGCGAUUCCUUUUGUUUCUGGUUUUGUACCAUCUUAAGAUGGCCAAGUCUUCAGCUUUUUUGCACAUUUGACCUUAAGGCACACUUCCUUUUUUAUAUGUGUAAAUAUGUAUGUCCUUAUUUUUUAUAUAUAUUUUGCCAUGUUGGUAUUUUUGUUGACAUAUUUUUUCCUAUAUCUGGCGUGAAUAUAACAAUGUAGUUUACCAUCGUUUAACUAUGAUAGAUCAAAAGGUUUUAUUUUACUGAAUGAUUGUUGCAAUAAGAGUUGAAGUAUUCGCAACCUACACAAGUUCCAUUAUUUUCCAAUUGGAUGAUUAUUUGAUUUAUUGAAUGUUAUUUUUUCAGAAUAAUAUGUAAAAGUUUUUAUUUAAAACUUCACAGAAA
This is an RNA transcript of Hippocampus zosterae (dwarf seahorse), 6147 nucleotides long. It is a transcript of the gene named mitochondrial transcription termination factor 2, with no coding region annotated. The transcript has 5 exons. The record is from RefSeq and is a predicted model, not a curated record. Lineage: Eukaryota; Metazoa; Chordata; Actinopteri; Syngnathiformes; Syngnathidae.